Molecule: ribosomal RNA, 1354 nt
Filed under: metagenome
Description: SSU rRNA
Rfam family: Eukaryotic small subunit ribosomal RNA
Source: RNAcentral
UUUGUCUCUGAGACUAAGCCAUGCAUGUCUAAGUAUAAAUUAAUUUUUACGGUGAAACUGCGGACGGCUCAUUAAAUCAGUUAUAACCUACUUGAUCGUGUGGCUUUAUUCGGAUAACCCUAGUAAUUCUAGAGCUAAUACGUGCUAAAAGCCUUAACUUCCAGCAAUGGGGGAAGAGGUGUAUUUAUUAGAAACUAAAACCAAUCAGCUUCGGCUGUUUGAGAUGAUUCAUAAUAACUCGGCAAAUUACGGGAAAAUUCCUGUGAUGAUUCAAACGGAUUUCUGACCUAUCAACUUUAGAUGGCAAAGUAGGGGUUUGCCAUGGUGACAACGGGUGACGGGGAAUUAGGUUUCGAUUCCGGAGAGGGAGCCUGAGAAACGGCUACCACUUCCGAGGAAGGCAGCAGGCGCGCAAAUUACCCAAUGCUAAUUCGGCGAGGUAGUGACAAGAAAUACCAAUGUAGGACCCAACGGGUACUACGUUUGGAAUGAGAACAAUUUAAAAACCUUAACGAGGAACAAUUGGAGGGCAAGUCUGGUGCCAGCAGCCGCGGUAAUUCCAGCUCCAAUAGUGUAUAUUAAAGUUGCUGCGGUUAAAAAGCUCGUAGUUGGAUUACGAAGUGGUGUUUAAAUGUCAUUUUGGUUUGUUUGUCUUUCGGGGCAUUCAGGUCAACUUGGCUUUUACUCACUGUUGUCAUUGUCUUUGCCCAAGGUAUAUGCCUUGUGUGCAUGGCAUUGACCUUCUAUUUUAUGGUAAUGUUGUAUCUUUCGGGGUACAUUCAUUCCAUAUAGUUUACUUUGAAAAAAUUAGGGUGUUUAAAGCAGGCGAAAAGGCUUCGGAAUAUAUUAGCAUGGGAUAAUAGAAUACGAUCUAGGUCGUAAUUUGUUGGUUUCUACGGCUUAGGUAAUGAUUGACAGGGAUAGUUGGGGUCGCUCGUAUUGAGUUGUCAGAGGUGAAAUUCUAGGAUUAACUCAAGACGAACUAAUGCGAAAGCAUUCGGCAAGGAUGUUUUCACUAAUCAAGAACGAAAGUUGGGGGAUCGAAGAUGAUCAGAUACCGUCGUAGUCUCAACUGUAAACUAUGUCGACCGAGGAUCCGGUAGCGUUACAUGGAUGACCUUCCGGGCACUCUGUGAGAAAUCAUAAGUAUUUGGAUUUCGGGGGGAGUAUGGUCGCAAGGCUGAAACUUAAAGGGAUUGACGGAAGGGCACCACCAGGAGUGGAAUCUGCGGCUUAAUUUGACCCAACACGGGAAAACUUACCAGGUCCGGACACAGUGAGGAUUGACAGAUUGAGAGCUCUUUCUUGAUUUUGUGGGUGGUGGUGCAUGGCCGUUUUUAGUUGGUGGAGUGAU